Non-coding RNA from Callithrix jacchus (white-tufted-ear marmoset), 698 nucleotides. Lineage: Eukaryota; Metazoa; Chordata; Mammalia; Primates; Cebidae. The record is from RefSeq and is a predicted model, not a curated record.
UCAGCGGGGAGGAGGUUAAGUUUGAGAAACCUGUUAGGCAACCCUUGCCUGCCCAGUGAUAUGAUGUUGAGUCUUUUUCUGGCUGGAGAUCACACUUGGGAGCUGUCGGUGCAGAAGGAACUUGAAGUCAUGACUUGGAUGAGACACGCAGGGAAAGAGCAAUAAGAGCAGAGACAAAGGGCAGUGCAAAGACUGGGCCCUGAGCACUCCAACAGCGGGAGCUGAGCGAAGAGAGGAGGAAGAACAAGAGACAGAACACAGGAGCAGCUGGUGAAGCACCCAGAGAACUAACAGGGAAUGGCAUUUUGGAAUCCAGCGUGUAACAUUUGAAUGGACAAUGGCUGGAAUGGAAGAAAACAUACCUUGGUCUGGUGGAGAUGUCUCUGCUUUUGUGGAGUUCAAAGGCAUGUCACUGAUCCUCUUCAUAUUCAGAACGGCGGGUGUUCUGGCUGGGAAGAGACGCUGUACCACCUUUCUAGAGGAGAAAACAGGCCUUCUCAUGAGUAUGGGGAUGGAGUGGAAAAGUCAAUUCAAAGCCCCUUUCUAUCACUUAGCUGUUCCGGGAUUUCAAGAUGUUUAAGACACCAUUGUACGUUUCUCUUCUCAGAUAAGAGAACUAGUUUGAGAUCAUGAGAAAUAACCUAUCGAUAAGUAAAAUAGCUAGUAAAAUGCCUAGCUCAAUAAAUGUUCAUGAGCAA